CCUACGGGAGGCAGCAGUCGAGAAUCAUUCACAAUGGGGGAAACCCUGAUGGUGCGACGCCGCGUGGGGGAAUGAAGGUCUUCGGAUUGUAAACCCCUGUCAUGUGGGAGCAAAUUAACAAGAUAGUACCACAAGAGGAAGAGACGGCUAACUCUGUGCCAGCAGCCGCGGUAAUACAGAGGUCUCAAGCGUUGUUCGGAAUCACUGGGCGUAACGCGUGCGUAGGCUGUUUCGUAAGUCGUGUGUGAAAGGCGCGGGCUCAACCCGCGGACGGCACAUGAUACUGCGAGACUAGAGUAAUGGAGGGGGAACCGGAAUUCUCGGUGUAGCAGUGAAAUGCGUAGAUAUCGAGAGGAACACUCGUGGCGAAGGCGGGUUCCUGGACAUUAACUGACGCUGAGGCACGAAGGCCAGGGGAGCGAAAGGGAUUAGAUACCCGAGUAGUC
RNAcentral lists this ribosomal RNA (446 nucleotides) under uncultured bacterium. RNAcentral describes it as "partial 16S ribosomal RNA". It matches the Rfam family "Bacterial small subunit ribosomal RNA", at positions 338 to 795 of the family's 1533-position model. The record is from RNAcentral.